AGCUCUAUAGGCGAUGGCAUUCGCCCUCCACAACCGCCCCGUGUCCGGCUGAUGAUGCCUACUCCUCA
Molecule: non-coding RNA, 68 nt
Filed under: Deinococcus gobiensis
Lineage: Bacteria; Thermotogati; Deinococcota; Deinococci; Deinococcales; Deinococcaceae
Description: Fluoride sequence
Rfam family: Fluoride riboswitch aptamer (crcB RNA motif)
Source: RNAcentral